UGGUACUAAUUUCGUUGGAGCGUCCAAACUUUUAAUUAAAGAUCGGCGAGAAUUCAUGAAGUCAUUGAAAACUCAAUUAACAGCUAGUGAAGCACACCAAAACAUCAACUGGCACUUUAAUCCGCCAGGAGCUCUACACAUGGGUGGACUCUGGGAAGCAGGAGUGCUACCCUUUUAACCCGAAUCGAAAGUAGCUUGAAUUCUCGCCCUUUAAGCCCAUUAAGUGAAGACCCAACAAAUUUAGAACCCUUAACUCCAGGCCAUUUCUUAAUAGGUACCCCUUUAUUAAUCCCAGCAGAACCCAACUUAGAMGGUGCACAUCUAAGCAUCGCACAAAGAUGGCAGAAACUGAAGAUACUCCAUCAACACUUCUGCAAAAGAUGGAAAGAAGAAUAUCUGAAAGAACUCCACAAAAGGUACAAGUGGAAAUACCCUCAGCGCAAUAUAGACGUCGAUAUGGUAGUUGUACGUCAAGAAACACUACCCCCAAAUGAGUGGAGACUUGGUCGCAUCGAAAAAACGUAUCUCGGUGCAGACAAUAAAGCAAGAGUAGUUGACAUACGUACCUCUCAGGGAACAAUUACCCGUCCAAUAACCAAAGUAGUCACUUUACCAAAUAAUUAAUCUUAUUUUCUUAUAGUGACAUGACCCCUCAAACCAAUAUGAAGCCAGCUUGCAGUCGCCAAAGCAGCCCCACAUUCACCGUGCGAUCACUUAGUGUGAUCCGAAGCAUCAGCCCACUCUCCGACGAAGGGACUCUGGCAAGACGCCUACAUUGCUUUAAAGCGACCCUUUCCCCCAUUUGAGAGAAACGAGGAAAUACUCAUUGCACGGCCCGACGUACUCUCAGCCGUUCAUCAAAACGAACACAUAAACACGUUGCCUGUGGAUUGUGCAAAAAGGAUCAUAGACUGGUAACAUGUUCAAAAUUUACUCAAAUGAACAUCAACGAAAAGUUCGACGCAGUCAUUAAAUAUAAGUAYUGCGUCAAUUGCUUGGCCAGAUCGCAUUCCACCCGAAAGUGCACAAGUACAAAACGAUCUGCCACGUGUAAUGGGGAACACCAUUCAACCCUACAUGGGCACCCCAGGCUGUUCUGCAAAGAACCAGAAAAAACAUCAAAGAGCGAAGAAAGAUUGCAUAGACAAAACGAUCUACCCACGUUACUGGCCAAGCCGACCCUUAUACCAACAGUCAUGAUCAAAGUUAAACACGAUGGCAAAUGGAAUCAAACACGACCCAUAAUUAACCCGACCCGAAAGGUGACUAUAAUUGCGUCAGAAUUGGUUCAGAGAUUGAGGUUACCGAAAACGUACCUUCACUCCCGUCGUAUAUGUAAGGUCGUCAUAGGAUCAUUAACUGAUUCCGACUGGCAUGUCGAAGUUAACUGCCUUUUGACGCACGAUUUACCGACCCGACCCUAUAACCGUGACUUAAGUGGCGAAAUUACUAAGAAGUUCGACCACUUAGUCCUAGCCGACCCUACAUUCUGGAAGAAUGACAACAUCAUGUUGGAACUGGGAGCUGACGUCUACCCAAGAAUAAUGAAACCCGGAUUAUUCAACCCCGAUAACAGCACCGUGAUCGCACAAAACACCGCACUCGRUUGGACUUUGACCGGUGCUUGUGCGAUUUAAACCCAAAACCCUGCAAGGCGGCCGRGAUGUUCAUACCAAAUGAACACAUCCCUGCAUUGUCCUCCUAACUCGUCUAAAUACGAAUUAGAGGACAAUGCAAAAAACACCCAACAGCGCCAACAUAACAGCGAAGUACCCAACAAACA
Bactrocera latifrons is the source of this 1783-nucleotide long non-coding RNA. RefSeq lists it as uncharacterized. Lineage: Eukaryota; Metazoa; Arthropoda; Insecta; Diptera; Tephritidae. The transcript has 2 exons. The record is from RefSeq and is a predicted model, not a curated record.